UCUACGGGAGGCAGCAGUGGGGAAUAUUGGACAAUGGGCGCAAGCCUGAUCCAGCCAUGCCGCGUGAGUGAUGAAGGCCUUAGGGUUGUAAAGCUCUUUUGUCCGGGAAGAUAAUGACUGUACCGGAAGAAUAAGCCCCGGCUAACUUCGUGCCAGCAGCCGCGGUAAUA
RNAcentral lists this ribosomal RNA (170 nucleotides) under uncultured Allobosea sp. RNAcentral describes it as "uncultured Bosea sp. partial 16S ribosomal RNA". It matches the Rfam family "Bacterial small subunit ribosomal RNA", at positions 338 to 525 of the family's 1533-position model. The record is from RNAcentral. Lineage: Bacteria; Pseudomonadati; Pseudomonadota; Alphaproteobacteria; Hyphomicrobiales; Alloboseaceae.